GGAAGCGCGCAGCGAGCAGAGGGUGGGUGCAGGUGGCGGUCCCCGAGUCGGCCCAGUGAGGGCUGAACUGCUGCUCCCAGGAACCGAGCGGGGUGGGCUCGGUCCGACGCGCAUCAUGGCCGAGUGCCUAGGCCUGACUCUGAGCGCAGGCCUAGCGUGGAUGGCAUGGGCGCUACACAGCUCCAAGUUACGCGAUUCAAACUCUUGGAAUAAACCCAGGGCAGCCCUGGGGCUGUGUUGAUUCCUUGUCUCCCUCCCUCCCAGCAUUUACAGAAAAGACGCAUUUAUAGGAAAGACGCACGGGCAGGUCCAGCAGAGCCCUUACAAGCAUUUCAACCUUUUAGAAAUCAGAUAAGACCCUCUAAACAUCGUUACAUGGGCCACAGUUACAUUAAGACAGGCGUUCUGACGUUCUGAAACCGCCUUUGCAAAAAAUUGUAUCGGUGAGAGAAGGUUGGCCUUGAAGGAGAUCUGGCCAACCCCCAUCUUGCCUUUGGCCUUAAAACUGCCCUUAAUUAUUCCUGGAUAAGCAAAGGUAACUUUGGGAGACAUUUAUAGUUUAAGUGAUAGCAGCCCUUCCUCAAAACUAAACAGCCUUUGUAAAGCUAAUGAGACCACUGAAACCGCCUUUGCAAAAAUCAUAACUGAAGAAAUUAUGACAGGGGAAGAUCUCCUCACCCACCCCAUCUUCCUGCUAUCCUCUAAGCUGCUUUUGUUCAUUCCUGGGUGUAGACCAGACUAGCCUUGGGAAGGAAUUUAGUUUAUAGAUUAAACUGAAACAAAAUUGAUAAUAGCCCUUUCCCAAAAAAACCCUUCUUGCCUGGGGACCAGUCUGCCUUUGUAGGACUAACAAAUUAAGCUACGAGAUUAAAAAUUACAGUUUAGGGGCCAUGCAACCUCUGGCGGCAAGAGUCUGAACCUCCCCAAAUUGCUUCUGGGAAUAACAUCACUGUUGCAAAACUUAAGGUCAGUGCUUGAAAUAUUUUGUAGACCCUGCAUUCAGAUGCAGCAGAUGACACCACCCAAACGGAUAAUCUGGCUCAACCAUGUGUGUGAUCCCACCCAGGGACAGAAGUCAGCCAGAACUCAUUUUGACCCCCUAUGAUUUAAUCUUCGACCUGACCAAUCAGCACUCACCACUUUCUGAGCCCAUACCCGCCAAAUUAUCCUUAAAAACACGGAUCCCCGAAUGCUUGGGGAGACUGAUUUGAGUGAUAAU
This 1219-nucleotide long non-coding RNA is filed under the name Homo sapiens (human). Its description in RNAcentral is "non-protein coding lnc-TRPM2-1:4". The record is from RNAcentral. Lineage: Eukaryota; Metazoa; Chordata; Mammalia; Primates; Hominidae.